GCCAUGGGGAGGAGAAACAAUAAGCCAGCCCUUUCCUGUGAGCUGACCAGCAAUGCAGGCUGGGAGACAAGAAGAGCCGAGUCCCCCUACUCCCAGCUGAUCCACAGAAACAAGCUGGGAUGAUUGCUACUGAGGCAGUUGGGGAUCUUGGCCAGUUCCCCAACAACUGACUCCUAAAUAGGGAUAUCCUAAUUAGGCCUGAGAAGAAAGACCCACCAGAGCGGAAAGAAGAGGAUGUGAGAUGCUUUUGCUGUUUUGUGCCACCUUGAAGUUUUGCUCCUGUGCCAUGCCACCCUGCCUUGGAGCCAGCUGAUUAUGGACUGAAACUUACACAAACUGUGAGCUAAUUAACCCUUUCCUCUCUUAAUUUUGGGUGUUGAAUAUUUUGUCUCAGUAAUGAGAGAAAAGUAACCAACACAGCUACUACCUAUUGCAAAAAACUUACAAGAAUCAACAUAGAAAAAA
Molecule: long non-coding RNA, 465 nt
Organism: Cavia porcellus (domestic guinea pig)
Lineage: Eukaryota; Metazoa; Chordata; Mammalia; Rodentia; Caviidae
Exons: 3
Source: RefSeq, a predicted model, not a curated record